GGCAGAGAGGCUGGAAACGGCAGAGGAGGAAGAAGAAAGAAAAGAAAAGAGAAAGGAAAAAAAAGAAGAGGAAAAGGGAAAGGGAAAAAGAGGAGGAGAAAAAGGAAGAAAAAUAGGUAGUUCAAGCUUGUUUCCAUUCUCCUUUUUCUAUAUUUUCUUCAAGAGGUAAAGGAAUGAUUUUAUGUUAAAUUUCUAGGGUUUUAACUUGUAUAAAUUUCAUAUUUAAGAAACUAAGAGUACAAAUUGGAGCUCAAUUUUGUUGAUUCUUUAAUCUCCAAUUUCAUUAAGGCAAGGAUACCAAUUUUUGGCAAACCCUCGAUUUUAUAUUGGAUACUUGAGUAAGGAUUAAUUGUGAACAUGAUUAUGGUGAUGAUAUAUUAACUUGAAAGAAUGGAUCUAUGGAAUAAGAGGUAAAUUAGAUUGGUGCAAGUGGGAAUUCAAGUUUCAAUAGAUUAGAAUAAAGAAUUAUUUCUAUGUUUGGUAUCUAGUUAAUUAUGAUAAUUUAAAGAUUAGUGAAAGGCUAGAAGGUAAAAUUUGUUUCAAUUGUGAAGGAAACUAAAGAAUAUAUUCAAGUGCCGAAAAGUCAAGUUCUAAAAUUUCAUAAUUAAAUGUUAAGAGAUACUUAGUAUGGGAGUUGUUAAAUUAGUUAUCUUACAUCGGAUUUCAGGUGAUGACGUGAAAGCUUGACAAGGCUGGUCAAUUUGACCAGAUUGCUAUCUAUAGAUCUGUUAGUGGAGAACCUAUUUUUUCAAAAAGAAGAUUUUCUUUUUAUUUUAUAGAAGCAUAUUAAUUACAUGAAAUGUCUUAUUUUCGAGAAAUUGGUAAAUGAUCAUGAUUAUUUUGAAAUUAUCAGAAAACAACUGAUGUAAUUAUCUUACUCUAGUGCACUGAGGGGCUACGGCCGUAUACUAGAGUCAUGUAUUUUAUUCUUAUACACUGAGGGGCUAUAGCCAUGUAUAAGAAUGAUUAUGUUUCCAUCUUGUACACUGAGGGGCUAUGGUCGCGUACUAGAGUCGUGUAUUUAACUCCUAUGCACUGGGGGGCUACAGCCGUGUGUAAGGGUAACUCUUAUCCACUGAGGGGCUACGGCCGUAGGUAAAUGCAUAUAUUAUACUCUAAGGGGCUACCGUCGUGUAUAAAGAUGAUUAUGUUGUUUCCAUCUUGUACACUGAGGGGCUACGAUCGUAUACAUAUUAUUGAUCAGACGGUUUAUGUGCAUAUGAUUUAUAGAUUUCAAAUCAUUAGUAGAUGUUUACAUGGGAUAUAUUUUGAUGUGAAUUUUAAGUAUAUAGGGGAUUAUUAGCCUACAACUUACAUUUCCCCGUUUACAGUUCAACUUAUGGAUUUCAGAUUAUAGAGUUCUGUUUAUUCAGUUUUAAGAAUAAAGCUUCCGGCUUACGAUAUUGAGCAACCACAAUAUUUCAUAGAUUUUCAUGAAUAUCAGAUUCUUUAUAUUCAUUAUACUUUGCAGUUACUUGUCUAGAAUUAAGAACAAAGAAUUUUAUGAUGCAAUCAUGCUUAGUUUAAAAGUGUUGCUAGAUUUUAGCAUUUCUCAAAGAUUUAAUAGAGUUAGAAUUUUUAGGAAAUAUGCAUAAAUGGAAAAGUAUACUUAUUUUUAAUCUAUUCACUCAUUGAGUUACAAGCUCAUAUUUUGUUACCGCUUUUCCUUAUUAGAUAGUGACCGAGUUGAGCAGUAUUGGAGCCUGUCGAUCCACUGAAUUGAGCCAAACGUCAUUAGUUGUACAGUCUACUUUAUCAGAUUAGGUAGUACAUGUUUCUUGGGUUACAUGUAGUUUAUGUUAGAAAAGGUUGUCAUGAGAUCACUAUAUGGUAUAUUUAGUACAUUUGAGAAUUGUUGGUAGUAAACCAAGUAAAUACCGAAUUGUCAAUAUUUUAUUUUGAAUAGUUUGGAUUUUGAGAAAUGAUG
RNAcentral lists this long non-coding RNA (1927 nucleotides) under Olea europaea (common olive). RNAcentral's name for it is "long non-coding RNA (OEUR_LNC002675)". Lineage: Eukaryota; Viridiplantae; Streptophyta; Magnoliopsida; Lamiales; Oleaceae. The record is from RNAcentral.